GAAAAAGGAAGAGAAGCAAAAUACUCUGAGGUUUCCUUGAAACAAAACCCUUGACAAAACCUUGAGAGAAACCUGACAGAGAACUCAGAGCAACCCCCAGGCAGCUCUGAAAAAUUCAAUCUGACUCACACACUUUCAUCUCACGCAAACCCUAACAUUGCCUUGCAAACCCAGUCGUGCCAUUUGAUUUCAACCGGUCUCUCCCAUCAGGUUUGCCUCAUUCCCAUGAUUUUAUGCUCUUAAUUUGGAUCAUCUGAAUGUAUGAGGUAUGAUGGAUGAAUUUCAUUAUGUUUUUGCCCACGGGUUUAAUUAUGCAUGAAUGGGUGAAACCUAUGCCUUGAAU
This 343-nucleotide long non-coding RNA is filed under the name Lathyrus oleraceus (garden pea). RNAcentral describes it as "Pisum sativum (pea) long non-coding RNA (PSAT_LNC001549)". The record is from RNAcentral. Lineage: Eukaryota; Viridiplantae; Streptophyta; Magnoliopsida; Fabales; Fabaceae.